This 261-nucleotide ribosomal RNA is filed under the name uncultured bacterium. Its description in RNAcentral is "partial 16S ribosomal RNA". It matches the Rfam family "Bacterial small subunit ribosomal RNA", at positions 509 to 769 of the family's 1533-position model. The record is from RNAcentral.
CAGCCGCCGCGGUAAUACGGAAGGUCCGGGCGUUAUCCGGAUUUAUUGGGUUUAAAGGGAGCGUAGGCCGGAGAUUAAGCGUGUUGUGAAAUGUAGAUGCUCAACAUCUGCACUGCAGCGCGAACUGGUUUCCUUGAGUACGCACAAAGUGGGCGGAAUUCGUGGUGUAGCGGUGAAAUGCUUAGAUAUCACGAAGAACUCCGAUUGCGAAGGCAGCUCACUGGAGCGCAACUGACGCUGAAGCUCGAAAGUGCGGGUAUC